Molecule: ribosomal RNA, 253 nt
Filed under: uncultured bacterium
Lineage: Bacteria
Description: partial 16S ribosomal RNA
Rfam family: Bacterial small subunit ribosomal RNA
Source: RNAcentral
UACGUAGGGGGCAAGCGUUAUCCGGAUUUACUGGGUGUAAAGGGAGCGUAGGCGGUGCAGCAAGUCAGAAGUGAAAGCCCGGGGCUCAACUCCGGGACUGCUAUUGAAACUGUUGAACUAGAUUGCAGGAGAGGUAAGUGGAAUUCCUAGUGUAGCGGUGAAAUGCGUAGAUAUUAGGAGGAACACCAGUGGCGAAGGCGGCUUACUGGACUGUAAAUGACGCUGAGGCUCGAAAGCGUGGGGAGCAAACAGG